GACGGGGGAUGCGAGCGUUAUCCGGAAUGAUUGGGCGUAAAGGGUCCGCAGGUGGCCCGGUCAGUCCGCUGUCAAAGCCUGGGGCUCAACCCUGGAGAGGCGGCGGAGACCACCGGGCUCGAGUCCGGUAGGGGCAGAGGGAAUUCCCGGUGGAGCGGUGAAAUGCGUAGAGAUCGGAAAGAACACCAACGGCGAAAGCACUCUGCUGGGCCGACACUGACACUGAGAGACGAAAGCUAGGGGAGCGAAUGGG
This 253-nucleotide ribosomal RNA is filed under the name uncultured prokaryote. Its description in RNAcentral is "partial 16S ribosomal RNA". It matches the Rfam family "Bacterial small subunit ribosomal RNA", at positions 524 to 776 of the family's 1533-position model. The record is from RNAcentral.